GGUCGGGUAGUCGAGUGGUCAGACAAGGGUACGCAAUACCUUUUGCAGUGGUUCGAAUCCAUUCCCGACCUCAA
This 74-nucleotide transfer RNA is filed under the name Empedobacter tilapiae. Its description in RNAcentral is "Empedobacter sp. MRS2 tRNA-Cys". It matches the Rfam family "tRNA". Rfam says of the family: Transfer RNA (tRNA) molecules are approximately 80 nucleotides in length. Their secondary structure includes four short double-helical elements and three loops (D, anti-codon, and T loops). The record is from RNAcentral. Lineage: Bacteria; Pseudomonadati; Bacteroidota; Flavobacteriia; Flavobacteriales; Weeksellaceae.